RNA transcript from Oncorhynchus mykiss (rainbow trout), 2208 nucleotides. It is a transcript of the gene named protein TUNAR pseudogene, with no coding region annotated. NCBI's taxonomy places the organism in Eukaryota, Metazoa, Chordata, Actinopteri, Salmoniformes, Salmonidae. The record is from RefSeq and is a predicted model, not a curated record.
UCUUUCCCUCUGCUUGGUUAUGCAAUGCACGGCUCUCCCACGGCACGUCUUGCACAGGGGACCCACCACAACACAGCUGCCACCAGCUGCAGACCCACACAGCAACAGCUACGCAGCAGCACUCCGGCUUUCCAGCUCUCCGGUUGUUCACAAACAGCUCUGGGAUUUUACUGGCUCUUUGGAAUAACACUUGCUGUGGCGUGGGCUGUCUGUAGUAUCAGUCGAUUGUUCUACAGCGGACUGGAGGUGCGGUAGUAGUUGCCGCAAGCACUAGCUGCUCCAGAGUAACCAUGCGCGGCUGUAGCUCCGGGUUUCAGCGGCAGGCGAGAGAGAGGCGCCUCUGAAAGGCACUAAUUGCUCUGCUCCAGAAAGAGGGAAGCAAGGAAGGACGGAAGGAGAGAAGGGGUGGGGGCGUGUACAUUUGUCACAGAGACUGGGGCUCUCUCUUUGAGCUGCUAAGAGGGUCAAAGAGCCAACAAGAGCCGAGGAGGAAGAGGGGGGCUGUGGUGGAAUUGGAGAGUGGGGCAGUAGGAUGGGGAGAGUAGUGGGGAGGGGGAGCGUAAGAAGCUUUGGUUGUGGAGACCCGAGGAAUAAAAUAACAAAAGCAAAAAGGAGACAAUACCGCAACCAAAACCAAGGCAGUAUUUAACCAAGGGGGUGGCGCAGAGGACUGGAGAAUUCAUCCGGGCAAGAAGGGGGUGGUUUUCACAGAGAGCAGUGUCUGCGUACAGUGCCGCACACCAAGACGCAGUUUGGAGCCCGGAUCUCCUUUUCUUUUCCUUACCACAUAUUCCUCUUUCUGUGACGCUGGGAGCGUGGGUACCCAGCCAGCUUCCCCCUGUCCCCCCCCAAAUGCAGGCUCCUGUGUGUGGCCAUGCUUCUCCGCUGAGGACCCAAAAGCAUGCUGGAUGUCACCCAGCUCCUCACACGCCUUAGGGUGGGCUGCCUCUGUCUCUCUCUCCCCCUCUGCAGAUAAGUGCCAGCAGCACCCUUGCCAGGUUGGGCGAGCGUCAUGGCCAUGGGCCCAACGGUCAUCACUAUUGAGGAGGUGCGGGCGCUAGAGAGCAAGGAGGAGCAGGAGGAGUCCAUCUUGGCGCUGCUGGGAAUCGUUGGCACCUUCCUUAACCUCUUCGUCAUUGUCUUUGUUUACAUCUACACCGUUGUGUGAGCCAAGCCAGAGUGGGAGUGAUCCCCCAAACGUCAAGGCACAAACCAAGCUUCCAUCUAACCCCAACAAACGUAUACUGGAUUUUACAUGCCAAGCUCCUACUCCCUCUAACUAGGUAUUAGUUAUAAAAAAGGUGCAAAACGACAAGAUAUUAAAAUAGGAGGGGGGAGCAGUUUCCUCACACAGAGAUUGAGGGUGGACAGUUCCGUGGGAGAUGGCGUCUCACAGCCAUGAACCAGAGAGAUAAUAGUGAGCUGGUGGACACAUCAGGACCAUGGCUGUGCUGGAUCCAGGAGGGGGCGAUAGACAGGGUUGGGCUGCAGGCCAGCACAGCCUGGGUGAACUAACUUCACCUUGGACUCAAUAGAAUGAGGGAAACGGACAGUGUUACCGACCAAUCUCCAUUGUCAAGUGGAUUUAAAAAAAAACAGACAAAGGGAUAUUGACGUCACUGGUCCGGAUGGUUUCAGGGGCAUGGCGUGGUGCUGUAAUGUACUGUGCUGCUUGCCGUCAGAUAGGCUACACACACCAAAGUGUUAGUCACCGCUUCUCAUGAUAUGAGACAUCACAACAGAGAGAUACACCAUCUCUCUGUCUAUUUCGUCUCCACAAGAACUGAUCUGCAAAGAGAGCAGAAGGAGUGGAAAUGACAAUUACACAUUUAAAUUCAAAUCGACCACCUGGAGAUCUGCAAUAAAAAGGCAAGUGGGAGAGAGAGAUAUUUUUUACAAAAAGGAGAGUCUGCUGUGGUGAUUAAAUCAUCCGCAGGGGUGGAAAGUAACUUGUGGGCACUGGCAAAAAGCUCCAUUCCGCAAUUACUAAUACAUAAGGUCAGACUUAAUCUUCUCUCUCUUUCUGCAUCUCUUUCCACGUUCUGUUCGGUUAUUUUGAUGUAAGGCUAUUUGUUCAUGUUGAUUUCAGGGUAGUGUCAGCGAUUCAGUUUCUGUAUAAAAAUCAAAGCUUUUAUAAACACAUGAAUAAACUAAACUCUAGAUGUACUGUGCAAUAGGGAACAUUUUUACAAUAAAAUGAGAAUAUAU